RNAcentral lists this ribosomal RNA (253 nucleotides) under uncultured bacterium. Its description in RNAcentral is "partial 16S ribosomal RNA". It matches the Rfam family "Bacterial small subunit ribosomal RNA", at positions 524 to 776 of the family's 1533-position model. The record is from RNAcentral.
UACGUAGGGUGCAAGCGUUAAUCGGAAUUACUGGGCGUAAAGCGUGCGCAGGCGGUUUUGUAAGCCAGAUGUGAAAUCCCCGGGCUCAACCUGGGAAUGGCAUUUGGGACUGCAAGGCUGGAGUACGGCAGAGGAGACUGGAAUUCCUGGUGUAGCGGUGAAAUGCGCAGAUAUCAGGAAGAACACCAAUGGCGAAGGCAGCUCUCUGGGACGGUACUGACGCUGAGACGCGAAAGCGUGGGGAGCGAACAGG